RNAcentral lists this long non-coding RNA (7121 nucleotides) under Marmota monax (woodchuck). The record is from RNAcentral. Lineage: Eukaryota; Metazoa; Chordata; Mammalia; Rodentia; Sciuridae.
CCAUGACCCUCAGCUCUUCAAAAGUGCAGCCCUCCUAGAAGGGACAGUCAGGUUGUUAGUGGGACCCUGACCUUCCGGGAUCUUCAUUGCUCAGGCUUUUGGGAUUCUGUAGAAACUCUCCCUGGCUGCAGGCUGGACUCCCUGUAGUUGCCGUGGGCUUCUCAGAGCCUGUGCUCAGCUGGGCCUCCCCUGAACCCUGCUCCCCCUCCUGUCUUCUGUUUUACAGAGGACCUACAACAUGCCAAGGCCACAAGAGGAUCGGCGGGGGUGAGUUGAUAAAGAUGUCCUUAACGGGCUUGUAGACCCAGGAUCAUUCCUGUGACUCGAAACCUGUGUGUUCAAAAAACAGAGAGAAGAAAAAGAGACAAACCUGCUAGUGACUUCAAAGUGCCCAUGAUUUUGCAACACAACACCUCUGUGAAGCUGCGCUGCACGGGGAGCCCAGGCCAGGAGGCCCAGCUCUGCUCUCUCCUGGGUCCGGUGCUCAGGCACCUGCACCUGCUCACACACCUGCACCUGCUCACCUGGCAGCCUGACACCAGAGGAGGUUGAUUCUGCCGUAUGGGGCCGGGAGGGUAAGCAGAGCGGGGUCAGGGUGUGUGCAGGCCACCUGGGCAGGAAGAGCAGCAGUGGGCACUGGAGAGGGAAGGAUGGGGCAGGGGACAUGGGAAGAGGAGGCUGGCCAUGAGGCUGCAGGGUCUGGCCAAGGCCAGUCUCAAAAUACCAGGCUGACUCUGAAGUCUAUUCUGGAGGCUGGAUUUCCACUGAGAUACUUCCUCCCGGUUGACCUAAGAGUUGAGUUGCCAGAUGUAGCCAAUACACAGAAGAUAGACUCGGUUGUGAUUGCAUUCAAACAAGGAAUGCUUUUUAAUAGGGGUAUAUCCUAUGCAAUAUUUGGGAUGUACUUAUACUAAAAAAUUGUUUGCUAUUUGGAAUUCAGACGUGACCACAGGUCCUAUAUUUUAUAUGGCAACUUUACUUGGGGGCCAGAGCAGAAGGAGAGGUGGUCAGGAUGAGAGAGGAUCAGCUCCCCCCCACUGAACCUGAGGGGCUUUGCUGCUAUCAGCUUUAAAUCUGGGGAAAUUCAUGAAGAUUCCAUUUGGAAACAGGUACCUGACUUUAAUGAUGAUAUUCAAAUGCUCAUAAAACCAUUGUGUAAGUUAUGUCUAAGAUUCCCUUCAGGCAUGUGUCUGAAGGGGACAGUAGACAUUUUCUAUAAAGGGCCAGAUCUAAAUAUUUUAAUAUUUAAUUGUUAAGACUUAAUUACAAUAUUUACUACGGACUGUAAAUGUUUUAGGCCUUGUGGAUCAGGCUGGCUGUGUUGAAACUGCUCAGCUCUACUGUUGUAAUAUAAAAGCAGCCUUAGACAUAGGUGCAUAAAUGAAUGUGGUUGUGUUCCAAUAAAACUUUAUUUAAAAAUCAGACUGUGGGCCAGAUGUGGUCUUGGGCUAUAGCUUCCUGACCUCUGGCCAAGACAGUUGGGCACUCUCAGUGCUGGCUGAGAGAAGCAUAUUCUUCCCCCAAUGUUCUGGACACAGAGACAUCUUCCCUAAGGAACUGAAUGUUUAAUUGGGGACCUCAGCAUUUCUCUCUCUCUGCCACCAAUUUCUGGGGUGGCCAUGUGACAGAUUGCCCUUGUCUUCCUGGGUCUCAGAGGCCUCACUUCUAGGAUGAAAUAGUUGGAGCCUCAGGAUCUUCCCCCAAAUCAGAUUUGAUCAUCCUGCCCUACCAAGGAGCAUCUGUCCUGCCACAGUCUACCUGGGCACAAUUCAGGAGGCACUUGUCAAAAGAAACAAACUUUAUUUUUAGAACACACACACACACACACACACACACACACACACACACACGGCACCACACAGCUCUUCAGGAAUUCCCUCAGAGCCCAACUGCCACCACCUGCUUCCCACAAGCCUCUCAACCUCCCCCACUCCUCCUGCUCUUGAGGCUGAUUGGCUGGGUCGUGUGGGCGGAGCCAAAAAAGUCCCCCAAUGAGCAGCUCUGUGGUCUGAAAGUGCGGGGAAACAGCUCAAUGAGCAUCACCGCAGAGGAGCCAAUCAGUUGGCAGCUAGAAGUUUGCUGGGACAGCUGUGAGCCAAUCAUCAGCUGGCAGCUGGAAGUUUGCUGGCAGCUGGAAGUUUGCUGGGCCUGCCCUACCAAGGAGCAUCUGUCCCCAGGCAGUAGUUGCUCUCUCUCCUUCCUGGACCUCCCCUCUGCCUGGGCAAAGGGUUGCAAGAUAAAGACACUUUUGUUCAUUCCAUUCAUUUCAGGGCAAUGGGGACUUUGUUUAUUUUUGGUUUUUGAUUUUCCAGGACUCCAGAGUCUCUGAGAACCCUCUGCCCUUACUGCUUCCUGCGCCACAGACACUGGACAUGUCACCCUGGAGACAGUGGCUCUGCGUCAGCCUCCUGCCAAUGAACAAUUGCAAGCUCUGCGAGAGGCCCGGGCCUCCCACCAGGAGCUGAGCCAGGACCAGGAAUGUCUUCCACACCCACCAACGGCUCCUCCAUGGCUCCAGUCUCGGUGAAGCAGCAAAAGACAUGGAUUUUCCAGGACCCAGGCCAGAGGCCCCCCCAAGGCGUCAGAGGGUGGGUGUGGCAGUGAGAUCCUGGCUUCCUCUCCUGUAGCACCUCUCCUCUGCUGGACGACUGACAGCUCUCUGGUAGCAGCAGAGAGCAGCACAAGGACACGGAGGGCAAGAGAUCAGGGAUGCUUCCUGGAGCCUCUCUGCCCACUGAUGGGAGAGGAUGAGCCUGGUGAGAGGCCCCCAGGGGCCACAGAGGCAGGAUGGGCCAUCUCAGUGCAUGGAUUUCCAGUGUGAGGCUGGACCAAGUGGCUUUCAUGGGCCUGCUGGUCUUGUCUUUGCGGGGGGGACCUCUUGUAAUGAUGUGGUUCCCUCUGGAGGGAAAUGGAGCUGAGGGUAGCUGAGGAUUUGGCAGAAGGAAGGGGGGAGGGGGGAAGGCAGAGCUUGAUUGACAGCCUCCAAGACGGAAAAUGAAAAGAAAAGGGCCACCUGUGGUAAGAAAGACCUCAGGUUACUUGUUACUGCAGCAUAGCAUUACCUAUCCUGCCUAAUACACACUCAGCCCAGGGACGGCCUCAAACUAGGCACCCUUCAGGGCUGACAGUUGAAUUAGGUAAUGCUGUUCCAAUAGGUCAGGGUGAGAUACCUCAGUCCAGCUUCUCUGGACUCCAUCCUGCUUCAUCCAUAAGAUGGUUGCAGCUGCUGGUGCCUGCUUUGGUCUGGCUGGUGCACACUGGUUGGCAAAGGGCCUGGCCCCCAGGAAACGCCCACUCUCAGGGAUGUCGCUGGCUGAGUACUCCUGAAGUCAGAAGCUACUCCAUGGAGCCUUUCCUAAUCUCAUUUAAACCUCGUGGCAACCCUCCAUGGCGUGACUUCCUUUAAAACGGAGAAGAGAGGUUAAACAGGUUUUAGAAUCUGCAAGCCCAGGUCUGUCUGGCCCCAAACAUCCCCCCUCCGCUCCUCCUCCUCUUCUUCCCACACCUUCCCCAGCUCCACGGGGCCCUUCUCGCCUCUGGCAUCUCAGAGCCUGUCCACCCAUCAGGAUGUGGUCCUUCCAGGGACUCUCACUCGUCCCUGGAUGGCAGGGGUCUGUGGCACUGUCUGCUCCACAGCUUCCCACCCCAGAUUCACUGUCUCCCCAAACCCCCAUUUUCUGAUGGUUUUGAAGGCACCAUGAUUCAGAGACAAGAGACCUGGGUACUGACCCAGACAGAUGCGGAGUCAAAUCCCAGCCCAGGGACAGCCAGGCUCCAUCGUCACCAGCAGCUCAUCACUUAGCUGCUAGCUCUGUCUCUUGGGACAAUUGCACCCACCAAGCCCACCAGGCUGGAAUGGGAAAGACAUCAGCAUGGCCAUUACUGGAACUGGAAGUCCCCUGAGGACAAGGGGCAGGGGCUGAGUCAUUACCGCUUACCUCCCCGGGCCUGGGGUGGCAGGCACUGGGCCAAAUGUUUUCACAUCUCCUUCUUCCAGGCUCCUUGUGGGACUCUUGUCCUGUCCCACGUGGCUCAGUGGGACCUCAUGACUUGUUCUGCACAGUGUAUCAUCAGGGCAGAAGUGAUGCCUGUCACUUCCUCUUGAUCAUCUUUAGUGGCUGGUGCAAAACCACCAGGGUUUUCCUCUCCCCUGGCACAACAGCUGCUCUAUCCCCCAGAUUCUGUGGGUGGCCAUGAUGAAUAGAGCCAAACCCACCCAACCUACAGUGGACAGGUAGGAUCAGCAAAAAUCAAUAUCUGGGUUUUUUAAGCCACUGUGAUUUGGAGGUUACUUGUUACUGCAGCAUAGCGUUACCUAUCCUGCCUAAUACACACUCAGCCCAGGGAGGGCCUCAAACUAGGCACCCUUUAGGGCUGACUGUUGAAUUAGGUGAUGCUGCUCCAAUAGGUCAGGAUGAGAGACGUCAGGGCCUGAAGACCCUGGUGCAGCCAUGAGGAGGACAGGGCUGCAAUGUGGGAGUCUCCCUGCUCACUUCAGAGACCGUCUUGGUGAAUACAGCUCUACAGAACACAAAGAGCAGGGAGUCGGCAAGUCAAGUCAUGCCCUAGAGCUACAGAGGCCAUCAUCCAGGUAAGAACAGCCACAGAAGCCACCCCGUACAGGCAUUCAGCCCACCUGCCUUCAAAACAGCCUGAAGAUGACUCGGGCUCUGAGUGUGGACUCUGGCCACCAGAAACCAAGACAAGUUUGUUCACGCUACUCCACCCUCAGCCGCCCAUGAAAUGCAGACCUAGAGAACUGCCUGGCUGAAGGGCUCAGAACAAGGGCUCUGGAGUCGGUUCCCUAGGCCCCAGCACUGCUUGGCUGUGGGACCUCAGUCAAUUCCUCUACCUCUCUGAGCUAAAUCAUCUUCACUUGUAAAAUGAAGAUAAUUAAGCUUGUCUUUCAGGUUUUUAGGCAGAUUAUGUGAGAAAAUGUGCUGGCCUCACAUCCAACCCUUUAUAAACAUCAUGGGAUUUAAUUAUCUCUAUUUUAUCAGAGAAGAUAAUAUUAGAGUCACAGGUGAACAGAAGCCAUUUCCUGAGCCCAGGGAGGCCAGGGCAGAGGAGACAAGAGCCCAGCUCUUUAAGUAUUUAUUUUAUUUAUUUUUACACAUGAGAAUGACUUCUCAAGUACAGAGAAAAAUAAAAAGUCGUCCAGAAGAGAGGGACAAUGGCGAUAUGUGCAGCUGCUAAGGGCACAGACUCUGGAGGAUGGACCAGGCCAGGGUUCAAAGGCUCUGCACUUAAAGACACAUGAAACAGUGGGCAAACCCUCCGCGCCUCAGUUUCCCCACCUGGGAAAUAGGGACACUGUCAGAGCCUUGACCAGGGGCCUGCUGUGUGACACUGGCCCCGGCUCUCGGCAAGAUCACGACAGACAGCAGUUGGAAACCCGCGGGUAUCAGCUCUGACCCGGGGUUGCCGUGAGCCUGGAGGCUGCCCGUGAGGCUGGGAAGGACACAGCACCGUCUCGGCCAGGGAAGGCUCUAGAUCUGGGAAGGGAAGUAUCAGUGGGUCUCAGCCAGGGCCCAUCCGCCGUUGUCUCUCUGGCUGCCACAGGUGAGACACACACGUGGGUUCCAUGGGGCGCCACAAGGAUGAGCUAGAAGGAGAGAGAAGGAGUUAGAAAGAGAGAGAAGGGCUGACGGGAGCCAGGUUUCAGCCAGACCCUGGGGGCAACUUCGGAAGCCCCUUGUCUCUUAUAAAAGCUGUUCAUGCCCCUGAGUCCCCAGAAGGUGGAAACUUUCUCUCGGCCAGCCCUGUGUCCCCUGGAUUUUGUGGUGAGCAGAGGGAGAACAGAGACCCCAGGCCCCCGGUGCAGCCCCCCACUCCUGCGGUCACCUUCCGCCCCACUCACACCUCCUCUCUUGUCCCCUGUCCCCCCAUACAGCCCUCUCUCCUUUCCAGCGCCUGUGGCCUGCUGUCACCAGCUCUCCAGGAACCCGCCCAGGGAGCCCCACCUCCCCGUCCACCUCCCACCCCUGGACGGCUCCUUGAAUGCUCACUGUGAGAUUGCUGACCCCCACCCCAGGGGCUCAGAGCAAAGCUUUGCCACUUCCUGGCUGUGCCUGCUUAGGUAAGUGACUCAGCCCCCAAGUCCCCACCUCACAGGACUGCUACAGAGCCAGUGACAACCCUGAGGUCCACCCUAGGAGGAGACCUGGCCAGACUCCGGGGCCUGAGGAGCAGACGUGAGGCCGAUCUGUAUCAGCAACAGAGAGGGUUGGUUAUUCCAGAAAGCAUGCAGGGGAGGAGAAGAGAAAUGACAGCCUCCUGCCCAAUUUCCUCAGCAGCGUUAAUGGGAGGCAGGCAUCUCGGUUGCAGCCGUGGGGAUCGAUGGGGCAGGCCGGCCUCUGCCUCUCAGGGUGACACGCGCUACAUACACAAUGGCUCGAGCCUGCGUGUGGGGUAUAGGGUUAAAGGUGUCCAUGAAGCUCUGCUCCACAUGGUUGGCCUCUAGCUGUGCAGGGGCAUCCGUGGCCUGAAAGAAAGAGUGUGCUCAGCUUGGCGGACCCCUGGCCCCAUUGCUAGGGAGGGCUUUGGGUCAUGCUCCGCUGCCAAGGUGGGCAGGGGCAGCCAGGGGAGGGAACAGCAGUGAAUCGUGAACAAAACCCCUGCCCCUGGAGUCUCACAGCAGAGCAGCUUCUUUACGCAUUUGGACUCCAGACGGCGUAUCCUUUGAGGUCAGAUUUGGGUCUGCUUCCCUGGGAGACAGCCUUGUGUGUGGCACAUAGUAGGUACCUGUUUGCUUAACAACUGAAAUCCUGCAGCUCCUGUUUGCAUGGCACCUCACACUCCUGGCACAGUCAGACCGUGAACAUCAGGAAGGGACUACUAAGGCUCAGAGAAGGGAAGCAACUUUUGCAAAGCUACACAGCACAGUCUGCCCAGCAAGGCCUAGAAUGGGGGCACUGGCUCAGUGCAGGCGUCUCCUCCUCCAGCUCCUGCUCACAUUCACUGAGCGUGUUCAGGGCUGCGGAACAGCGAUUUUAUUAGAGUUCAAAGACCAUUUAUUUUCUCCUAAAAAUAACUGCAAAAUAAAUAACUGAGAAGAUCCCCAAAUGUUUAUAAAUGUAUUAAAAUCAUGUUAUCAGCAUAUAAAAUGCAGCAGUGUAAAU